This 158-nucleotide ribosomal RNA is filed under the name Zygosaccharomyces mellis. RNAcentral describes it as "5.8S rRNA". It matches the Rfam family "5.8S ribosomal RNA". Rfam says of the family: 5.8S ribosomal RNA (5.8S rRNA) is a component of the large subunit of the eukaryotic ribosome. It is transcribed by RNA polymerase I as part of the 45S precursor that also contains 18S and 28S rRNA. Lineage: Eukaryota; Fungi; Ascomycota; Saccharomycetes; Saccharomycetales; Saccharomycetaceae. The record is from RNAcentral.
AAAACUUUCAACAACGGAUCUCUUGGUUCUCGCAUCGAUGAAGAACGCAGCGAACUGCGAUACGUAAUGUGAAUUGCAGAAUUCCGUGAAUCAUCGAAUCUUUGAACGCACAUUGCGCCCCUUGGUAUUCCAGGGGGCAUGCCUGUUUGAGCGUCAUU